UCUGGUAAUGAUGGCAGAGAGGCCACACCCGUUCCCAUACCGAACACGGAAGUUAAGCUCUCUAGCGCCGAUGGUAGUUGGGACCUUGUCC
RNAcentral lists this ribosomal RNA (91 nucleotides) under Bacillus anthracis (anthrax bacterium). Lineage: Bacteria; Bacillati; Bacillota; Bacilli; Caryophanales; Bacillaceae. The record is from RNAcentral. RNAcentral also lists the same sequence under 1 other name.